RNAcentral lists this ribosomal RNA (202 nucleotides) under uncultured bacterium. RNAcentral describes it as "partial 16S ribosomal RNA". It matches the Rfam family "Bacterial small subunit ribosomal RNA", at positions 568 to 774 of the family's 1533-position model. The record is from RNAcentral.
UGCGUAGGCGGCCCGCUAAGUAGGGUGUGAAAUGCCAGAGCUCAACUUGGCAUUGCGCUCUAGACUGACGGGCUUGAGUGAGAUAGGGGUGUGCGGAACUUCCAGUGGAGCGGUGAAAUGUGUUGAUAUUGGAAGGAACGCCGGUGGCGAAAGCGGCACACUGGGUCUUAACUGACGCUGAGGCAAGACCAGGUAGCGAACG